UCUUUUGUCGGAGAGUAAAGUACGCUACGUGUAGCGUAUUGCAAGUAUCCGAAGAAAAAGCAUCGGCUAACUCCGUGCCAGCAGCCGCGGUAAUACGGAGGAUGCAAGCGUUAUCCGGAUUUAUUGGGUUUAAAGGGUGCGUAGGCGGCACGCCAAGUCAGCGGUGAAAUUUCCGGGCUCAACCCGGAGUGUGCCGUUGAAACUGGCGAGCUAGAGUACACAAGAGGCAGGCGGAAUGCGUGGUGUAGCGGUGAAAUGCAUAGAUAUCACGCAGAACCCCGAUCGCGAAGGCAGCCUGCUAGGGUGAAACAGACGCUGAGGCACGAAAGCGUGGGUAUCGAACAGGAUUAGAUACCCUGGUAGUCCACGCAGUAAACGAUGAAUACUAACUGUUUGCGAUACAAUGUAAGCGGUACAGCGAAAGCGUUAAGUAUUCCACCUGGGGAGUACG
This 451-nucleotide ribosomal RNA is filed under the name uncultured bacterium. RNAcentral's name for it is "bacterial SSU rRNA". It matches the Rfam family "Bacterial small subunit ribosomal RNA", at positions 432 to 884 of the family's 1533-position model. The record is from RNAcentral.